Molecule: long non-coding RNA, 536 nt
Filed under: Gallus gallus (chicken)
Lineage: Eukaryota; Metazoa; Chordata; Aves; Galliformes; Phasianidae
Description: lncRNA (ENSGALG00010009409.1)
Source: RNAcentral
UUCUUUCUCUCUGUACUGUUUAUAUUUUAACUCUGUAAAUGUAUCUUCAGAAAGAAAAGGAAAGAAAGAAAGAAAUGAAGGGAGGAAGGGAGGAAGGGAGGAAGGAAGGGAGGAAGGGAGGAAGGGAGGAAGGGAGGAAGGGAGGAAGGAAGGAAGGAAGGAAGGAAGGAAGGAAGGAAGGAAGGAAGGAAGGAAGGAAGGAAGGAAGGAAGGAAGGAAGGAAGGGAAAGAAAAAAAACAAAGAAAAAAAGAAAGAAAAAACAUGGAAAGCACUUCAGGUGACAUCUUCCAUGGAGGACCCCUGUUCUUCAAGAUAGGAGAGAAUACUUCUUGAUCCACUAUAUAUGACAGAAUGGCCACAAACAACUGUAAUACAAUACAUCUUCUGUACAACAGGCUGUCACUGAUGCAGCCUGGCCUUGAGGCUUCCAGGGAUGGGACAUCCACAGCUUUUCUCAGAAACUCUCAUCAUGAAAAAAUUAUUUUUUCUAAAGACAUGUAUCUGUCUUUACCAUGUGCUCAUACUUUUAGGUAAA